RNAcentral lists this ribosomal RNA (378 nucleotides) under Cronobacter sakazakii. RNAcentral's name for it is "bacterial SSU rRNA". It matches the Rfam family "Bacterial small subunit ribosomal RNA", at positions 1 to 374 of the family's 1533-position model. Lineage: Bacteria; Pseudomonadati; Pseudomonadota; Gammaproteobacteria; Enterobacterales; Enterobacteriaceae. The record is from RNAcentral.
UUAAUUGAAGAGUUUGAUCAUGGCUCAGAUUGAACGCUGGCGGCAGGCCUAACACAUGCAAGUCGAACGGUAACAGGGAGCAGCUUGCUGCUCUGCUGACGAGUGGCGGACGGGUGAGUAAUGUCUGGGAAACUGCCUGAUGGAGGGGGAUAACUACUGGAAACGGUAGCUAAUACCGCAUAACGUCUACGGACCAAAGUGGGGGACCUUCGGGCCUCAUGCCAUCAGAUGUGCCCAGAUGGGAUUAGCUAGUAGGUGGGGUAACGGCUCACCUAGGCGACGAUCCCUAGCUGGUCUGAGAGGAUGACCAGCCACACUGGAACUGAGACACGGUCCAGACUCCUACGGGAGGCAGCAGUGGGGAAUAUUGCACAAUGG